RNAcentral lists this small nuclear RNA (232 nucleotides) under Glossina austeni. RNAcentral's name for it is "U12 minor spliceosomal RNA". It matches the Rfam family "U12 minor spliceosomal RNA". From Rfam's summary of the family: Although the U12 sequence is very divergent from that of U2, the two are functionally analogous. The record is from RNAcentral. Lineage: Eukaryota; Metazoa; Arthropoda; Insecta; Diptera; Glossinidae.
GUGCCUAAAUUUAAUGAGUAAGGAAAACCAUGUUGGUCUUGCUAAUCGCUCGACUGGUUGCUUCUAAGGCAGUGGGAUGAAAUUCCGUCGGGUAUCACUUUUCCUUUAGUGGUUCGAUCGAUAUGAAGUCCCAUAUGAAGCGCAAAUUUUUGAAAGGGUACAGGUCGUCCCAUUGGACUCAUGAGCUUACUACUCUUUCGAGCUGUAGAGUUCGGGUGAAGCGAUCUGCCCU